CUGGGCUCGAAGCGCAGUGGACCGGGAUGGAAACAUCCCUUCCCCUUAAAAGGCUGCUGCGGAGGUGCUGCAUGGCUGUCGUCAGCUCGUGUCGUGAGAUGUUGGGUUAAGUCCCGCAACGAGCGCAACCCUUAUCCCUAGUUGCUACCGGGUCAAGCCGAGCACUCUAGUGAAAACUGCCUCGGAUAACGGAGGAGGAAGGUGGGGAAUGACGUCAAGUCCUCAUGGCCUUUAUGUCCAGGGCUACACACGUGCUACAAUGGUCGGUACAAACCGUCGCAAACCCGCGAGGGGGAGCUAAUCGGAAAAAGCCGGCCUCAGUUCGGAUUGGAGUCUGCAACUCGACUCAUGAAGCUGGAAUCGCUAGUAAUCGCGGAUCAGAACGCCGCGGUGAAUACGUUCCC
RNAcentral lists this ribosomal RNA (404 nucleotides) under uncultured bacterium. RNAcentral's name for it is "bacterial SSU rRNA". It matches the Rfam family "Bacterial small subunit ribosomal RNA", at positions 975 to 1375 of the family's 1533-position model. The record is from RNAcentral.